CGCGCCCCGCGCCCCGCGCCACCGGCCAGCACGCGCCGCAGCGAGCGCACCGGACUGCCUCUCCAGCUGCUGCCAGUUUGGGCCCCUGCUCUCUCUGGCUUCCAGCUGUGAUGUCUGGUCGUCCCCAUCUCCCUCCUGAAGCAGCCACGCCCAGGGUGCAUGCCCACCCAGUGGCCCUUAUGAAGUGGUGAACUCUCUGACCAGCAGGGGUGGAAGAUGGUACCAGUCAACCCUGCGCCGGAGGAGGAGCCCGAAGCCGCCACUGAGAGAUGGAGGACCCCACGCCUGAGCCCGUCUACGUGGAUGUGGACAAAGGACUGACCUUGGCCUGCUUCGUCUUCCUCUGCCUGUUCCUCGUCGUGAUGAUCAUCCGCUGCGCCAAGGUCAUCAUGGACCCUUACAGCGCCAUCCCCACAUCCACCUGGGAGGAGCAGCACCUGGACGACUGAGGCGCGGGCAGGCAGGGGCAGUGGGGAGGGGCCGAGACCCUGGCACUCCCUGGACGAGGUUGCCCCGGGACACACCUCCAUCCCCUGGCCACCAGCGUGCCAGCGCCUGGAGGCAGGCGGGAACAGAUUUGGCUACUGGGGAUGGAAAAGGUUCACCUUAGCUUUGUCCACUCCCACACGAGCAGCAGGUUGAGAUGCGUGGGAUGUUGUGGGUGGUACCAUGGCCAGGCAGUCGGGGGAUGAGAGAUCCGUGAGUCAGUAGGCCCGGGUUCCAGGCUGGGGACUCAGUGUGAGACUAUGGGCGGUCACCUUCCCUGGACCCCAAACCCCAUUUGGCAUUGGAUACAGGACAGAUCAUAUAACAGUGGUCCAGUUUUGAGGAGACAGACCCUUGCCCUGAUCAUGCCAAGUAGCACAGGUACUAGCCCCAGGGUUGCACAGCACAGACACCCACCUGAAACCCAGCCCCUUCCCAAUGGGCUGGCAGUGGAGCCAGGUGGUGACCCAGGGAAGCAGAUGGAUUCAAAUUCACAAAAGGCACAGGGGCUGCUUCCCAACAAUAUUUUUUUAAAACUAGAAUAUAGAAGGGUAUAUUUUUUCCUGUUAUAAAUGAAAUGUGUAUUUCAGAAGUUUGGAAAAAUAAUAGAAGGGGAAAAUAAUACUUAUAAUUCCACGUCCCCAAAGCUGCCAUCCUGAUAUAUUUUCUCUCAGUAUUUCUACAUAUAUUUUUCAAUAGUCAAACUGUGUGCAUGGUGUUACAUCACUUCAUAUUAGAGCAUGAACACUUUCUCAUGUCAUCAAACUCUCUUCAGUUCAGGUCAGUCGCUCAGUUGUGUCUGACUCUUUGUGACCCCAUGAACCACAGCACGCCAGGCCUCC
This is a long non-coding RNA of Capra hircus (goat), 1328 nucleotides long. RefSeq lists it as uncharacterized. The record is from RefSeq and is a predicted model, not a curated record. The transcript has 3 exons. NCBI's taxonomy places the organism in Eukaryota, Metazoa, Chordata, Mammalia, Artiodactyla, Bovidae.